UUCACAUAUUCUAAUUCAAUAAGCCUCUUAAUCUACAGCUAUUUUUUUGCAAUCUGUAAUCUGUAAAAUUUGUUACGGAAUGAUCAAUCAGAGCAUGGCGAUAAUAUUUCUAGCGUAACAUUUAAAAAGGGCGAAACUGCCAAAUGUAAACAAAUCGAGUUAACGGUCAUUCCGGAUGUACGCGGUUGCACUUUACCUAAUUAACGCGGUUUCAUCUUAAAAUCACUUAAAACUUUCAAAAAAUUAAUAAAAUUCAAUUAGGCGAAACUUUCUAUUGAUGCAUUUUCAUUGGAACGUGAAGUUACGCCUAUUCAAAAUGGGGUGAAUUUUUCUAUUCGUGUAGGGCCAAUAGGCGUAACUGAGUUGACCGUGUGUGACAAAACGGCCUAAUUAGUUUUUGCGUGCAGGACCAAUGGGUCGAUUCACGAUGACGUACACGCUCGUUUUCAUUUAACCAUUUACGGAUGAAAGAUAACCAUUUUUUGUUUUUUGCUGAAGAACUUCCAAUAUGGUUAUUUUCUAUUAUUUUUUUCCUAUGAAAUUUUAACCAUUUUGGUAGUUCUCAAAUGAAACCCACAAGAUGGUUGAAAAUUUCGCCAUUUCAUCGCCGCCAUGUUGAAAGUAAUUUGUUCUGCAGCCGGGUGCGUUCUGCAUGGAAGAAAGAAAUUCAAGCUUUUCUUCCACUUAGUAGUGAACAUGAUCCGAAGAACAUCCUCUGGUCCAAAGGAUACCGAAAUGUGGAAAGUUUGCCGGAACUGCAAAUGCAGGAUUUGCGAGCUUAUAAGCCCGUUUAGCUGUACUGGAUUCCACCUAAUGUGACUCUGGAGCUGGCUUCGGAUUAUACGACUCAGCUGGAGCAACCGAAUAUACCCAUAGCUGGUGUGAUGCAGCGGAAAAGUGAAAACAGCAGCUAGAAUAUCAAGUUCCUAUCCAUGAUCUGGAUGCCAGUUGCCAUUUAGGAAUCAUAAUCCGACGAACAUCCUUUGGUCCAGUAAGGAUGCCGAAAUCUGAGGAUCCUCAGAUAAUCGGGAGCUGAAUAUUAAUCCGACCAGGUGCUGCGCAAUUGUUCCACCAAGAUAAUUUGAUGGUAUGCGGUAAUUUUCCGUACUAUUUGGGGGGUCAGACUGCCGGAAAAACAUCAUCCGGCUGUGGAGUGUUGGAAACACCUCGCUGAACAACGGAUUAGUGCUGUUGGUGCUGAUCAUCCGCUAGGAGCUCAACAGAAUACCCUCAAAAUGUUCUACUUGGACUUCUUCCGGAAAAGCAUUUACCGGUCCCUAUCGUUCCUGGCUAUGUUUUGCGAUCCCGGAUCCUAUUUUUCCGAAUCACUAGCAGAGCCAAAGGAUCGGGACAGUGAAAGCACAGAGAAGUGAAAGUAAGUGGUUCGAUGCCGAU
This is a long non-coding RNA of Uranotaenia lowii, 1395 nucleotides long. RefSeq lists it as uncharacterized. The record is from RefSeq and is a predicted model, not a curated record. Lineage: Eukaryota; Metazoa; Arthropoda; Insecta; Diptera; Culicidae. The transcript is spliced from 3 exons.